Molecule: long non-coding RNA, 206 nt
Filed under: Parus major (Great Tit)
Lineage: Eukaryota; Metazoa; Chordata; Aves; Passeriformes; Paridae
Description: lncRNA (ENSPMJG00000014763.1)
Source: RNAcentral
CAAGGAAUGAGUUAAAGCAUUCUGAAUUUAUUUGGACCGAAUACUGUAUGGAGUAAAAGAAACAGAGGAGAAGAUUAUAGAGGAUGAAAAACACCUUGAGGAGUUAGUGAAGCAAAAAGCAGAAAUCCAGGAAGAUGCAAAAUGUUGGAACAGCAAAGUCCUGCUAAGGAUCCAGUGGAAUCCAGAAUAUGGAUGGAGGAUUUCUG